Molecule: long non-coding RNA, 4602 nt
Organism: Aethalodelphis obliquidens (Pacific white-sided dolphin)
Lineage: Eukaryota; Metazoa; Chordata; Mammalia; Artiodactyla; Delphinidae
Exons: 2
Source: RefSeq, a predicted model, not a curated record
UGUUUUCAUGCUACAAUAGCAGAAUUGAGUAGCACUUCGUAUGGCUGCUUAGCACACUGCAAACUGCAGUGACACAGUUAUAAAUCCACAGCCUUUCAAGUGCCACAUCACAAUUUUUAACUUUAUUUUUAUUACCAGUGGCUGCUCAUCAUAUCAAAACCAGAAAAGAAGAUUAGACUGCAAAUGUCACACUUUUAAGGCACAGUGGACAGUGAAUUGUUCUGUUAUCAAAUUAGAUGGCAAAGCACUGUGUUUAUUAUGCAAUGACACUAUAGCUGUGCUCAACUGAAUCCAAUAUACAUGAAUAUUACCAAUCAAAGAACUCAUCACAAUAUCCCCUGCCACAGGCAAACAAUGGUCAGAAAAAAACAGAAAAUUUAAAAUGGUGUGUCUCAUCAUAGGAAAGCUUCUUUCACAAAAAUAAAAAAUGAACAUGAGCUUCCGACCAAGUAAGUUUUCUGAAUGGCUUAUUUGUUGGCUAAUCAAGGAAAGCCAUUUACUGAUGGUUAAUUAAAUCAUAUUUGAUUGUAGAAACUGAAGAAGUGUGUCGAGAGAAAAUAAUCUCUGUCUGAGAUUAUCAGCCAUUCAGUGAGUACAGUUACUCAAAAAAUUGAGGACAUUGGGAACAAUAUGAAUAGCUGAUGAGAAAACAAAGCAAAAAAACCCCACAUAUACAUGCAAGGAAAAUGAUUUCAAGUGGUUUUCUUUGGUCAAAAGAUGUUGUGGAUACCGCUCAAUUGCUGUUUUUUAUUUGAGGAGUCAAUGCCAAGUUUGGUGUAAGUGAAGAAUUAACCUCUAUGAAGAAUCUAUGUGAAACAAUUCCAGGCAAGAAUAUAUUCAAAGUUGAGAAAACACUAGUUCAGUACAACCUAGAGUGGAAUCUGCUAAGAUGUGUUACAACCAAUGAUGCCAAUAUAUGUGGAGGAGAAAAAGACAAAUUUACAAAGUGUGUUUUAAAUGUUACGGUUAUUCAUGGUAUUUAUUAUUCAAUCAGCAGGUAUCCUGCAGAAAAUAUCUGAAUUAAUCAUGAGCCAAGAGUGUCAAAGGUGAAUUUCACUCACUCCUAUGGGUUUAACUAUCCUCAGCUUUGUGAAUUUUUGUCAAAAAUGGAAGCUGAAUAUCUUGACUUGCCCUACCAUGCAGUCCAAAAACUUUGCAGUGACAAAAUUUUAUUGUGACUUUUUUAGGUACUGAGACUAAAAUUUUUCUAAAUGAGAAGAAUCACUACUGACCACUAUUAUCAAACUGAAUGGCUUAGGAAAUGAGCUUUUGCUGCAAACUUGAUAAUGUUUCUUAAUGAAUUUAAUUUAUAUUUAUAAGGCAAACAGUUGCUAAUAUGUGAAUUUUUUUACUGAAGCAAAGCCAAUACAAUGCUAAUUAAUGCUGUUUGAAUCACAAAUAAUAUGUUGUGUUAUCAAGAGUUAAAACAAAAAAUAAUAUCUAUAUUCCCACACAAAUCUGAAAUAGAUAUACUUUCUAACAUCAAAUUAAACUCCAGAGAGGGUAAACAACUGUCCCAGGUUUAGCACUUGAAGUCCCAAAUCCUGGGUAACCGCUCAGUCCCAGGAAACUAGAACAACUGGUCUCCCUAAUUCCAGCAGUGAUUUUUGGACCCGAAUGCAAAUGCAAAGGAAAUUUCCAUAUUUCAAAAUCCAUCAACUGCAACUGAGGAGCUUCUACCUAACUUGCAACUGGAAGUGAUUAAUCUGCAAUAUAAUCACAUGCUAAAAGUCAAACAUCAAAAGAAGAAUCUAAUAAAAUAAGAUGAAUCUAAUAAAAAAAGAAGAAUUCUAUAAAAUAAGAUGCUGCUCAUGGAUUGAUAUCAGUGUGUGGUACUAAUCUGUUUGAAAGGGCAUAUUCAGAGGUGAAAUACAUGAAAUCUCAUCAGAGAUCAGCAUUAACAGAUGAAUAUUUGCAGUUGAGUUUGAUGAGACAGAACACUAACUUUGAACCCCAAUCAAAUGAAAUGCUAUCCUCCAUUCCAAUUAGAUGUGUGCCACAAAAACACCUGUAAUCAGUUAUUAUUAUAGUAUGAAUUUCAUCAAGACAAACAUUUCAGAAUCUCUCUCUCUUGCUAUAUAAGUACUUACAUAAUACCUUCAAUUUUGCCUAUUGGCCUGCAAAGCCUAAAAUAUUUACCUGGCCCUUUACAUUAUGUAGGCCCCUCAUCUAGACUAAGAUAAAUAUAGUUAAGGGAUGGGGACUGUCAUAGUUGACAAGAAACUGAAUGAAGCAGUAACUGUCUUUUAUGAGAAGAAUAAACAAAGUGGUAUGUGUUUAAAAGACUAUAACAUACCAGAGUCAGAAGCAAUCACUUCAUUACACCAAUCUCUUUAGAUGUCCAUCUAGAAUCUAGAUCAUAGAUCUUAAACACUUCUGCUAUGGAAGUUAAUUUUCCUUUAUAUGAAAAAUUGGUAUGGAUUCAAGGAUGAUUGACAGUGACUAACUGUGAAACAGUGUUUAUUUUUAAACAUUUUGAAAAGUAUAGUUGUUUAGCGCAAAGUGUCAAGAUUACAGGGAUAGCAAUUACUAUUUAAUUACACAAAGUACACUGGGCUGUUUUAUGGUCUAUGGAAAACUUCUAAAAACAUAAAUUAAAGCAGGUUAUUUUGUUUUGUUUUAGUUUUGUUUAGUCAUAAGAAUGAUGUAUGACUACUAGGAAGACAAAAUGUUACACCAGUUUCUGAGAGAGAUGGUUAAUUUUAUACUCCUAGACAGCUUCCAAAAGAGAAUAACCAUCUUACUGUAGGCUUUAAACUUUUAUCUACCUAAAGGCAAGAGCCAACCCAUUAUUUUAAAAAAAUCAAAUGUCCUAUGAAAGCAUUACAAUCCAGAUUUCAUAAGAUGGCUCCAUACCAUAUUAGAAAUGUUAUGAAAAAUUUAAACUAUAUAGCUAAUAUCCCAGUCAAUAGAAAAAUGCCACAAAACAGCAAAUAAUUUAGAGUUAAUGACAGACAAAUAACAUGUACUUUUAUAAAAAUAUCAUCAUCAUCAUGGCAUUUCAUGGUGCUAGGACUACGAGGAAGAAUAAGAUUCUGUUGAUAAGCUUAAGAAAAUUUAUAAUCUACUUGGUAAGCUAAACUAAGUAAAUAAAGAAAAUUAAUAAUAAUAUAAGUGAACAUAGCCUAGUGCCAAAUUAGUAUAUGCAUAUGUGCACUAAAUGCUGUAAGAAAAGAGAAACAAAAUUCGAACUUAUUAAUACAACCAAUUAUAUACACAAUUACUUGUUUCAAGGAUGAAAAUAUGUAAAUUAAUGUCUACCUAUUAUUCAUCAAUAAUGAGAAACUAGACUGUAGCAGUAAUGUCACUUCUUUUUCCUCAGCCUAAUAUUUAAAUUUAAGUAAAGAUGAUUCUUUUAAAAGCAUCAUUUUGAUGUACUAAGCCAGAGUCACCAGGUCUCAUAUCACUGCUAUGAGAGCAAAUAACCCACUAAUCAAAUAUAGUAUUCUUUCCCAUUGAGGAAAAAAAAAGGCCUCAUAAAACUUAACACAGCUCCCCAGGUAACCACCACUAAUCACCAGAAUUGGCACUUAAAUGAAACUUACUUACCAUGCAAGUUUUAAGGCAUCUCUUUAAGAACAGAAGCAACAAUAAAAGCAUAGUCUACUCAUUUGAUUUCAGUACAUUAGCCAUAACAUGUAUGUAUGAGAAUAACUGGUAUUUUCAUACUAUUUUGAAGUUUGAUUAUUGCUUUCUCUAGAGUUUUAAGUAUUUUAUGAUUAUUUUAAGUAUUUCUCUUUCUAGUGAGAACAUUAAAAGGUUCUAUUAACAAUUUUUAUUAAAGUCCUUUAUUAGAUUUUAAGAUAAUGAAUGUUGUGAUCUUUUAUUUUAGGAGAAAUGAGAGAAGAUGGCAUAGGACAGGAAAUCGGAGAUGGUGGUUCUCUCAGAAUGGUUCACUUCGGUUUGGUAUAAAUACGAAACUUGUUUUUUUAUUUUUAAAAAACCCGCAUUUUUCACAUCUAAACUUUUUCAUGGCCUGAUAUAGAUUAAAAUCUCCCUAUAUGAAUUAAAAAGAGGAGAGAUAACAUGAAUUAGUUAAAACAUUUAAAUUCAGAGUAUUUUCAAAGUAAAGUUUUAUUAGUUUCAAAAACAUGCAGCAUAACAGCAAAGUCAUCUUAAGUAAAAGUCUUUAAAUUUUUGAAGUUCCUUAAAUUGUACAUUAUUAGGUGCUUCAAAAGUAGGAUAUUUAAACUUGGUUCUCCCAAGUAUUUUAAAUAUCUCCUCUUGUGAUACUGUUUAUAUUAUUAAUUUGCAUGAUGAAUAAAGUAUUUAUUAAGUGAAAAGUUCAGCCCAGGCCCAUUGUUGGAAGACAAUUUUCCAUGGGUCUCUUGAAUUACUGAUAAUGAGGCACUGACUGCCCCUUGGUACACAGAUACUAUCUCGUUCUGGAGCAAUAUGCUUACAACCUGUUAUAAAAGGUUUGAAUUCCCUAAGCUCAGAGUUCCUACUCUUUACAGAGCCCAAUGAGUGUGCAACUGUCACCUGGCCCUCUUCACAUCACCCUGUGGGAAUGGGACUUAGGAAACCAUUGCCCACCCUGCAAAAAAAUGUUGAUACUCUAGCAACUAUUGGUGUAAGUAAUAAACUCUCUUUUGUCUCUGA